CCUUGAUGGCGACCGGCGCACGGGUGAGUAACGCGUAUGCAACCUGCCCGAUACCGGGGGAUAGCCCAUGGAAACGUGGAUUAACACCCCAUAGUACUUUUAUCCUGCCUGGGAUGGGAGUUAAAUGUUCAAGGUAUCGGAUGGGCAUGCGUCCUAUUAGUUAGUUGGCGGGGUAACAGCCCACCAAGACGAUGAUAGGUAGGGGUUCUGAGAGGAAGGUCCCCCACAUUGGAACUGAGACACGGUCCAA
Molecule: ribosomal RNA, 250 nt
Filed under: uncultured bacterium
Lineage: Bacteria
Description: partial 16S ribosomal RNA
Rfam family: Bacterial small subunit ribosomal RNA
Source: RNAcentral